GACGAACGCUGGCGGCGUGCUUAACACAUGCAAGUCGAACGGAAAGGCCCUGCUUUUGUGGGGUGCUCGAGUGGCGAACGGGUGAGUAACACGUGAGUAACCUGCCCUUGACUUUGGGAUAACUUCAGGAAACUGGGGCUAAUACCGGAUAGGAGCUCCUGCUGCAUGGUGGGGGUUGGAAAGUUUCGGCGGUUGGGGAUGGACUCGCGGCUUAUCAGCUUGUUGGUGGGGUAGUGGCUUACCAAGGCUUUGACGGGUAGCCGGCCUGAGAGGGUGGACGGCCACAUUGGGACUGCGAUACGGCCCAGACUCCUACGGGAGGCAGCAGUGGGGAAUAUUGCACAAUGGGCGGAAGCCUGAUGCAGAAACGCCGCGUGCGGGAUGACGGCCUUCGGGUUGUAAACCGCUUUCGCCUGUGACGAAGCGUGAGUGACGGUAAUGGGUAAAGAAGCACCGGCUAACUACGUG
RNAcentral lists this ribosomal RNA (468 nucleotides) under uncultured bacterium. RNAcentral describes it as "partial 16S ribosomal RNA". It matches the Rfam family "Bacterial small subunit ribosomal RNA", at positions 28 to 507 of the family's 1533-position model. The record is from RNAcentral.